CAAGAAGCCGAAAGGCUACUUAAAACCAUCGCGAACUUAUCCAAGUUGCUUCGGCGGCGCGGCUCCCCUCACGGGGGACCGCAGCCCCGCCUCUCAGGAGGUAAGGGGCAGCCGCCGGAGGUACGAAACUCUGUAUUAUAGUGGUAUCUCUGAGUAUAAAACAAAUAAGUU
Molecule: unclassified non-coding RNA, 171 nt
Filed under: soil metagenome
Description: partial internal transcribed spacer 1
Source: RNAcentral